Bubalus bubalis (water buffalo) is the source of this 6480-nucleotide long non-coding RNA. RefSeq lists it as uncharacterized. The transcript has 2 exons. The record is from RefSeq and is a predicted model, not a curated record. Lineage: Eukaryota; Metazoa; Chordata; Mammalia; Artiodactyla; Bovidae.
UCCUUCACCAGGGGGUCUUCCUAACCCAAGGAUCAAACCCCAGUCUCCUAUUUUGCAGAUGGAUUCUUUACCAUCUGAGCCACCAGGGAAGCUGUGCAUGACAGUAAAACACACUAAUCUCAGGCGUGCAAUCUGAUGAAAUUUUACAUGUUUGCACACCUGGUGAGCACUGUGCACAUCACAGUAAGUGUGCAACAUUCCAGCGUUUGAGAAGGUCCCUCCAUGUCAGCACCCACCCCCAGCGUAACCACUGUCAGGGUUCUGUCACCAGGGUGAGCAUGCUGGUGCUCAGAUUCAAUGUCACAGUGCACUCUGCGUCCAGAGGGUCCAUCCAUGUUGUGUGCGUCCGGAGAUCGGUUUUUUUUAAUGGAUUCAGAGUAUUCCUUAUGCAUCUGUCUGUAUGGAUGGAGAUUCAGGGACCCAAAGCCUCCUUUUGGGCUCCUCUUCAACACACUCUUGGAUUCCACUAGCGGUUCUCGAUGCUGCUGUGAGCUGGCUGGGCGUAGCCCUGGUCAGCCUCCUCCCAGCCCAGUGUGCUGCCCCGGAGCCCUGUACAGACCCCAGCCCUGGCCUUGAGUGGACCGGGGUGGAGCAGCUGCUGCCAGAGGUCUGAGGGUUCAGGAGUUCCUGAAGGCCUUGAACCAUGGCUUAUUAAUUACUUGUCGAUUACUAAAUCAAAAUAAAUCAGGGAUUUGUUUACCGAGUUGAAAUGCUUUCCUAGCCCUUCCUCUAAUUCUGCACUUUGACUCACAGCUUUCAUGCCGUCCUGUGCGUUCCGUUACCCGCUGCAGCCCUCCUGGGGGGCUGAGACACCAGGUGAACAGGGUCGGGCCUGAUGGUGCUCAGUGGGUCCAGGACAGCACGUGCCACAGUGUCUUCGAUGGAGGUGAACAGCUGUCCUUUUGAAAGUUGUCUUUCACGUGUGGAAUGAAGACCCCACAGCAGCCUUGACGGUGGUGGGCUGUGGGGCCACGCGCUUCAGGUGGCCUUCACCUGGGGUUUGCCUGUGUCUUCCUGCAGCUUCCCACUCGCACACCUGAGGGUGUUGGUGAGUCACAUCCUUUGCCUUUGGGAAUUUCUGUGUUCCUCCUAAAAGUCCUGCCUAGUGAUUGGGUAUGUUUAUUUUCCACUUCAUCACGUCAGUUUGUCUGUCGAAAGCUGGACUGUGUGUCCAUCAGUAUGCAGAGCUUAUCUCUCUGCACCUUUGCUUCCGAGACAGGACGCGGGGGACUGAUGCACAGGCCCAGAAAGCCCCCUCAGAUGGCCUCUCCUGGGAGGUGUGCUGUUGUGCUUGGGCCCUGGGUAAGGGCCAUGGAAGAAAACCACGCGGGCCACUAAAGCUGUCGUCUUUACAUGCUGAGCUAGAGAAACUGGGAGACUAAAGUACUGUUCGCAUCCUGUUUUCUGUGGCUCGGGGGCCUGAGCCACUGGCUCCCCGCCCACACGUCAUGACCUUGCUUCCCUCGCUGGUCUGGAAUAAUAACGGGGUGUUGCUAUGGGACAAAACAAAUACUCUGCCUGUAGUGUGGCCCCUCUCGUGGAGGAGGAGCCCCUGGCUCCAGCAGCAGCUGCAGGGAUGAGCAGGGCCCCCAGCCUUCACAGGAACGCGCUCCUUUUGCCAGAAGGUGAUGCCGAGGCUCCACAGGUCAGAAUGCUUUUGUGAGAAAUGAUGUGUUGGGGCAGCUGUGCUCCACCCUCAGGAGAGGAGCUGCCCUGGAGCAGCUUUGUCCCUGUUCACCUGGAGCUGGAGUCACUGCGCUCCCCCACCCCAAACUGGGAACAGUUUUCCAGGAAUGUGACCCACUGCUUGUCAGUGGUGAGCUGAGGGUCCAGGAGGGGCUGGGGAGGGAGGAAGAGCACCACACGCAAGCUUCCGCACCAGGUAGGUGUUGUCUGUCUCCUCACAAUGCCUCUUCUCCACCACCCAGUCACAGCCAUUCAUCGGAGGAGGGUCAGCACCUGGCCCUGGAGAGUAAGCCAACGUGCACUGUUGAGGUUGCCCUGUGGUUCUUCCUGGAAAGAAUUCUGGGGGGCCACAGUCUCUGGGCUCCCUCCCUGCCCUAAGAGCUUGGUCCAGCCUGGUAGGAGCAGUUGCCACCUGGUCACAUCACCUGAGUCCUUCUCUCAGCUUGGGGUUACAAUGUCCUUUCUUAGAGCAUCGGCUCUGUGCCAGCCCUUCUACUGGGCACUCAGCUCAGGUGCUUCCAUGAUGCUCAUGACACCAUAACUGUGGGCUGCAGAGAGGAAGAUCUGGGGUCUGGACCAGGCUGCUAACUCGCCCCAAACAAGGCCCCAGCAACCUUCCAUUGCUCUGCCAUCCUGCUUCUCACCUAGUUCUUGUUAUCCCCUGAUUCCAUCUCGUGGAAAACGGACAACACCUACCUGGUCUGGACUGCUCUGCAGCCACAGCGUGUAUCGCUCACUCUCCCUCCCCAGCCCCUCCAGGACAUGGCUCAGGGCUGCACUGCCUCUUCAGUAUCCCUCCCAUGUCCUGAGAAUCCCCCUCUCUGAGGCCGCCCCAUGCACUUUGGCCUGUGUGCAAUCUGCUGGGGGCGGAAGGGGUGCUGCAGGCAGAGCCCCCCUCUGCAGCUGUGCUCAGAGUGUCAGCAGUGACCGAGCAGAGGCCCCUUGGGCUGCAAGGCUGGGAUGGGCAGCUUCUGCUCAGCUCAGCUCUGAGUCCCCGUCUAGAGAUCGGGGUUAAGGUCAUGCUCCUGAGCACCACUUUUCUCUCACAGAGUAAUAAAAAAGUGGUUUCCUUGUGGAAAAAAAAAAAAAAACCCUGAAAAAUAACUGCCAGUGAUGGAAGGGACAGGGCCUAAAAAAGUCAUGACUCGUAUUCAGAAAUUAGGAAGGUGGCUUAACUGAAGAGGGGUGUGCUCCUGUAGGGACAUGCUUCCUGCUCUGUCUUUUAUAAACCACACGGGCGGAGGUCUCACUGUGUGGUGCUUGCAAGUCUGGGUGUUUGAGAAGGGCUCUGGCAGCCCUGGGGUGCGUGUGGAAGCCUGGUGUGCCCUGUACACCUUCUCCACGUGCACUUGGCCAAGAAGAGCACAAGCUCUGGAACAAAGUGAUCAAGUGCAAGCUGCUGUUCGAUGGACUCUCACUCAGGACACGGAUUUGAUUCAGGACUCACACCAGCCCUCUGGGGAAUAUAUUGUGUCCUUCUUUUACAAAGGAGGAACUAUGCUUGGAGAAGUUUAAAUGAUCCAGAGUCACCCGCCAGUUCAAGGGAAGUGCUAUGAAGGAGAGACAGAUGAGCAGCCUGGCACUGACCUCCACACUCUGGCCCAGGUGGACCCUCCAGCCCGCCAGCUCCACCUCAACAGCAGGGCUCCCUGCACCUUUACCUCAGCUUCUAGAGCAGCUGGUUCUGGUCUAUGGUAUUCCGCCCACCAUGUGUGCUAAGUUACUUCAGCUGUAUCCAAUUCUUUGCAACUCUGUAGACUGUAACCCACCAGGCUCCUCUGUCCAUGGAAUUCUCCAGGCAAGAAUACUGAGGGCUGCCAUGCCCUCCUCAAGGGGAUCUUGAGUAACAUUGAGUUAUUUUCUUGUUGAUAAGUUUGUAAGAGAAUACCAGGUAUUAAUUUAAUACUGAAUAUUUCCCAGUUCAAGUGAACCUGAAAUUCACUUAACUUCUCUUAUAUUUAGAAUUGUUUGAUUUGUAAGCACUUACUUUUCUUCAAGCCAAUUAAAUAGAGCUCAUUUACAAAUUAACCAUAGCAAUAUUAUCCAAAGACACAUACUGACACAUACAUAUACCCAGACAGACAUGAGAGAUUUAGCUUCAUUUUCUAAACUUAGUCAUGAAUCAGCUAUCACAAUGUAAAAUUCACUAAUUUAUAGUGAAUAAAUAAAAAUUGGAAUAAAUAAAAAUUAUUGGAAUAAAUUUGGAAUAAAUAAAAAUUCUGAAGGCUUCUCCUGCCCACCAUGGCCCCCUUUGUCCACGUUGCCAGCUGGCCUGGGUGUCGGCCCUCCCACAUGGGGCGUCCCCUUCUCGUGGAAUUCUCACGCCCCCACUGGCGCUCCUUGGACCUCGUCUAGACACUCUCCUGUGUCAGCCUCAGGUCCUUUCUUUGCUAGUAGCCUUGUGCCUGUGCACAGUUGUUGAACCUUCUGGGUCUCAGCUUCCUGGUCUGUAAAAUGGGAACAGCGACACCUCUGGGGUGCUGUGAGGAGAGCUUGGCCCGGACCACACCUUCUCUCCCACCGUCGGGACCACAGCCGUGUCCCGAGAUCUCUCUGCUCCCUUCUCGGCCCUGCCCCACUCCUACAUUCAGCAGUCCUGGGUCCAUAGGUGCAGAUCACGCUUGUCACCUGGACAGCACACCGUGUGGAGCACACGCAGGGCUCACACAGCCCCCGGCAGCUGCUUGGCAGUCUCACGAAGGAGCCGCUGCUUGUCUGAGCAGUUCUGCAGGCGCUGACAGCCACGCCAUCACUGCUCCGGAUUGAGGUGGGUGGACGCGGCACAGCAAGGGGCCAGGCUCGGCUGUCCGCUCCACCCCAUCUGACUCACAGGUCUGUGGCCUGAUUUUAAACUGUCCCGACGUGUCCGCCCCGGAGGUCACCCCCUGGCAGGUCCCACGCUCUGGCAGAUGCCUCGUGAGGUUGGCAGCCUGUGCUGCCUGAUCGUCCCACAAAUGGACGUCUCUGCAUGGUUUUCUUACACAGCAUGCGUGUGUGCGCAUGCUCCUUGGCCCUGUCCUGAAGUGGCCCUGACGUGUUCGUUCUCCUUCACGGUUGGAUGUUGUGUUGAUUGUGACUCCAGGACCCACCUUAAUGAAAAGCAAGCAGGACGUGAGGCAUCACAGCCCAUGGGGCUGCCCUGUGGCCUCUGGCGCGCAGUGAAGUCCUGCUCCCCUGGUCCCGGGCUGCGGUGUGGGGCGCGCUCUGGCCCUCUCUUCAUCUGAUUACUGCUUUCCUGAUAGGCUCAGUUUAAACCAGGGCCUACGUCUGUCAUACAGCGUCUUUGUGUACUUUUCUCAGUUUGUCCUUACACGUUUGCACAUGCGAUUACUGUUCAACAUCUCAACAAUGGGCUCUCAAACAAACCGUCAGCCUUGUGAAGACACUCAACACUAGCCCAGGGCCAUACUGGGCAUUCAGUGGAAUCUGAAUGGGUUCUUAAAACUAGCCUAUAACAGUAACUAGCAAGGUGCUUACUGGGAUGUUCAUGACACAGCUUUUUAGACUCGAAUGUGCAUCUGAGUCCUGGGGAUCUUGUUAGACUGCAGAUUCUGAGUCCCUAGACCUGGGGCCUAAGGUCAUGCAUCUCCAGCAGGUCCGAGAUGUUGCUGGCGUUGCUGCUUAAGAGACCUUGAGCAGGAGUUGGAACGUGGCACAGGCAGGAGUCCAGGCCUGGGGCUGGGCCUUGCUGCUUUGUUCUGUGUUCAGCCCGAGUACAAUAUUUUUCGAUCUGAUUGGGUCACAUUGGAGACUUACCCUUGGGUUGUGUUUUCUCUCACUUUCCAUAUUGUAAAGGCUUCCUUGAGUCCUUCAACCCUUUCUAAUACAGCACUUCUGUUGGCUUCAUCCUGGGAGCAUGCUUCAUCUGUUUGAUGAGCUUUUACAGUUUCCACUUUUCACCUUUGUGCAUAUUUUGAUGAUGAUUUUCCAUCCGAAUCUACCUGUGCUUCUGAUGUCCUGUGAUUGCUUUCGCCUGAGAGGCCUGGGGUGGCGCCUUGGUAUGGGUGGGGCUUCGGGGGUGGGGCCUCGGUGGGCGGGGCCUUGUUUGGGGGCGGGGCCUCUGCUGCAGGGUCCGGAGUGCUUGGCUGGGUUUCUAUCUGCACUGAGGAGCUGGGAAGGUGAGUAAUGUAUGGGCUUCCUUUUAACUUCACGUCGUAAGAUAGACUUUAAUUACAAGGGGCCAUUCGUCUGUGAAAGAACACAAUAGCUCCUUCGAUGCCCUGAGUAUGUUCACGAUAAACACAACAUUUCACGACAGAACAAGCUAAGAAGGAAUCCUGGGUGCUUCAGCCCCAGGCUCCUGCCAGGGAGCAGUCGGUGGAUAUUGGAAUGUCUAGGAUUCUUCUUGGUCCCUCAAGACUGGGGCAGUUUCAGAAUCACUGGAAGAGUCUAGCCCUGAAGGAUUUUCCAAGGAAAGUACUGCUAUUGUAGCAACGAGAUGUCCCUUGUGGCACUUACAAGACGGGAGCCAGACAACUUGACCUUUCUCAUGUUCAGGAGCACCUGCAAGUUCAAGAUACCUACCUACCUCCUAGGACUAUAAACAUCCAGCAAAAGAAUGUUUUUCAAGUAUAGCAGAUAAGUGAAAAAAAAAAAAAUCAGAGUAGACCAGCGUGGACAGCGUGCUGCUUGUCAGAGACGAGGUCACAGAUAUUGUUCUCACGUACACAAGAUGCCUUUUGAAGGAACAGAGGACUGAAAUCAUUGGUUCCUGUGGAGACUGUUCACUGAAUACCUUUUGAAUUUUGAGCUGUGUGGUUCUAUUCCACUCACACCAUAAAGAAAAAUAUACCA